GAAAUGCGAUAAGUAGUGUGAAUUGCAGAAUUCAGUGAAUCAUCGAAUCUUUGAACGCACAUUGCGCCCUUUGGUAUUCCUUAGGGCAUGCCUGUUCGAGCGUCAUUUCAACCCUCAAGCCCCCGGGUUUGGUGUUGGGGAUCGGGCUGCGGUUCUACCGCGUCCCGGCCCCGAAAUCUAGUGGCGGUCUCGCUGCAGCCUCCAUUGCGUAGUAGCUAACACCUCGCAACUGGAACGCGGCGCGGCCAAGCCGUUAAACCCCCAACUUCUGAAUGUUGACCUCGGAUCAGGUAGGAAUACCCGCUGAACUUAAGC
Molecule: unclassified non-coding RNA, 315 nt
Filed under: plant metagenome
Description: partial contains 5.8S ribosomal RNA, internal transcribed spacer 2, and large subunit ribosomal RNA
Rfam family: 5.8S ribosomal RNA (bases 1-105)
Source: RNAcentral